AGGAUUUAGGUGCUGAAAAGUUAAAAGGGAAUAUGGUUAGAAUCCAUAACAGCCCCCGCUACUGUAAUUGAUGACGAGCUUCAAGAACCACUCGGAAGGGGAAGGUGAGGCAAAGGAUGAUUCAUAAGUCAGGAGACCUGCCUAAAAGU
This 149-nucleotide non-coding RNA is filed under the name uncultured Clostridium sp. The record is from RNAcentral. Lineage: Bacteria; Bacillati; Bacillota; Clostridia; Eubacteriales; Clostridiaceae.